GCAACGCGAACAACCUUACCUACCCUUGACAUGUCCGAGAGCCUGCUGAGAGGCGGGUGUGCCCGAAAGGGAAUCGGAACACAGGUGCUGCAUGGCUGUCGUCAGCUCGUGUCGUGAGAUGUUGGGUUAAGUCCCGCAACGAGCGCAACCCUUGUCCCUAGUUGCUACGCAAGGGCACUCUAGGGAGACUGCCGGUGACAAACCGGAGGAAGGUGGGGAUGACGUCAAGUCCUCAUGGCCCUUAUGGGUAGGGCUUCACACGUCAUACAAUGGCCGGUACAGAGGGUUGCCAAGGCGCGAGCCGGAGCCAAUCCCCAUAAAAGCCGGUCGUAGUCCGGAUUGCAGUCUGCAACUCGACUGCAUGAAGUCGGAAUCGCUAGCAAUCGCGGAUCAGCAUGUCGCGGUGAAUACGUUCCCGGGUCUUGUACACACCGCCCGUCACACCAUGGGAGUGGGUUCUACCAGAAGUAGGUAGGCUAACCGCAAGGGGGCCGCUUACCACGGUAGGAUUCAUGACUGGGGUGAAGUCGUAACAAGGUA
This 540-nucleotide ribosomal RNA is filed under the name uncultured soil bacterium. RNAcentral's name for it is "bacterial SSU rRNA". It matches the Rfam family "Bacterial small subunit ribosomal RNA", at positions 956 to 1498 of the family's 1533-position model. The record is from RNAcentral.